Molecule: ribosomal RNA, 421 nt
Filed under: uncultured Glomeraceae
Lineage: Eukaryota; Fungi; Glomeromycota; Glomeromycetes; Glomerales; Glomeraceae
Description: SSU rRNA
Rfam family: Eukaryotic small subunit ribosomal RNA
Source: RNAcentral
GGGAGGUAGUGACAAUAAAUAACAAUACGGGGUUCUUUAGGAUUUCGUAAUUGGAAUGAGUACAAUUUAAAUCUCUUAACGAGGAACAAUUGGAGGGCAAGUCUGGUGCCAGCAGCCGCGGUAAUUCCAGCUCCAAUAGCGUAUAUUAAAGUUGUUGCAGUUAAAAAGCUCGUAGUUGAAUUUCGGGAUCAAUUUAUCGGUCGUGCCUCUGGUAUGCACUGGUAUUAUUGAUUUCUACCUUCUGACGAACCAUCAUGUCAUUCAUUUGGUGUGGCGGGGAAUCAGGACUGUUACUUUGAAAAAUUAGAGUGUUUAAAGCAGGCUCGCGCUUGAAUACAUUAGCAUGGAAUAAUGAAAUAGGACGUUGAUCCUAUUUUGUUGGUUUCUAGGAUUGACGUAAUGAUUAAUAGGGAUAGUUGGG